GAAAUGCGAUAAGUAGUGUGAAUUACAGAAUUCAGUGAAUCAUCGAAUCUUUGAACGCACAUUGCGCCCUUUGGUAUUCCAAAGGGCAUGCCUGUUCGAGCGUCAUUUGUACCCUCAAGCUUUGCUUGGUGUUGGGCGUCUUGUCUCUAGCUUUGCUGGAGACUCGCCUUAAAGUAAUUGGCAGCCGGCCUACUGGUUUCGGAGCGCAGCACAAGUCGCACUCUCUAUCAGCAAAGGUCUAGCAUCCAUUAAGCCUUUUUUCAACUUUUGACCUCGGAUCAGGUAGGGAUACCCGCUGAACUUAAGC
RNAcentral lists this unclassified non-coding RNA (307 nucleotides) under plant metagenome. RNAcentral describes it as "partial contains 5.8S ribosomal RNA, internal transcribed spacer 2, and large subunit ribosomal RNA". The stretch from base 1 to 105 matches the Rfam family "5.8S ribosomal RNA", at positions 50 to 154 of the family's 154-position model. The record is from RNAcentral.